UCCUGGAUAGCUCAGUGGGUUAUAGUGUGGUGCUGAUAAUGCCAUGGUUGCAGGUUCGAUCCCUGCAUGGGAC
Non-coding RNA from Podarcis lilfordi (Lilford's wall lizard), 73 nucleotides. The record is from the annotation of a GenBank genome assembly. Lineage: Eukaryota; Metazoa; Chordata; Lepidosauria; Squamata; Lacertidae.